This 521-nucleotide ribosomal RNA is filed under the name uncultured bacterium. RNAcentral's name for it is "bacterial SSU rRNA". It matches the Rfam family "Bacterial small subunit ribosomal RNA", at positions 25 to 518 of the family's 1533-position model. The record is from RNAcentral.
CAGGACGAACGCUGGCGGCGUGCCUAAUACAUGCAAGUCGAACGGUCUUUCUAUGGAAGCUUGCUUCCACUGAGAAGAUAGUGGCGAACGGGUGAGUAACACGUGGGUAACCUGCCCAUAAGAGGGGGGAUAACAUCCGGAAACGGGUGCUAAUACCGCAUAGUUUUCUUGAUCGCAUGAUCGGGAAAGGAAAGACGGCCUUUGUGCUGUCGCUUAUGGAUGGACCCGCGGCGUAUUAGUUAGUUGGUGAGGUAACGGCUCACCAAGACGAUGAUACGUAGCCGACCUGAGAGGGUGAUCGGCCACAUUGGGACUGAGACACGGCCCAAACUCCUACGGGAGGCAGCAGUAGGGAAUCUUCCGCAAUGGACGAAAGUCUGACGGAGCAACGCCGCGUGGGUGAAGAAAGGUUUUCGGAUCGUAAAACUCUGUUGUCAGAGAAGAACAAGUUGGAGAGUAACUGCUCCAGCCUUGACGGUAUCUGACCAGAAAGCCACGGCUAACUACGUGCCAGCAGCGGC